Long non-coding RNA from Apis cerana (Asiatic honeybee), 2255 nucleotides. RefSeq lists it as uncharacterized. The record is from RefSeq and is a predicted model, not a curated record. Lineage: Eukaryota; Metazoa; Arthropoda; Insecta; Hymenoptera; Apidae.
CACGUCGGUCAUUGGUAGCGUCCAUCUUGCUGGAAAGAUCGUUGAAAAAGAAAAAAAACUAGUCAAAAAUAGAAGUCAAUAGAAAUUGUCGUUUUGCCUCUCCGUUUAUAUCUCUGAAUUAUAAUUUUUAAGGAUCGAUUAUUUCUUCGCUGUUGGCGAAAACAUUUCCAUGGAAUCGAGUUUGAAAAAUUGGUUAUUACAGAUUAUGCAGAAUUAGAUAAUAAAUCAAAGAGGAAACAAGUACGAGUGGAAAGACGAGAGACAAAGGGGAUUCGAUUUACCGUUCUCUAAUAGCCGCCACUUAAUAUCGCAACAGGGUGAUGAGAACAAAGGCGAGUCAAGCUCAAAACGUCCGAUUGUUUUGCAUAAUUGAACGCCUCGAACUAGCUGCUUCUACUCGUCCGCAAAAUACCCUAUGAAAUAUAAUCGAUAUUCUCUAUGUUCGACUGAAUACGAGAGAAGAAAGAGAAGGAAAGGAACGCGAAGAGGCGAAGAAACGACACGAGGAAACAUAACCUCAAAUGUGAAUGUGUUCGGUUUCAUUUUUUUACAACCGAUAAAAGGAGAAUGAAAAACAAAAAGGAUGUAAAAUAAAGGUACGCGUAAUCCAUGUUUUAACCAACACUUUUUAAGCGUUAGAUUAGAUUAGUCAGAAAUGUACAAUCUCUCUCUGUCUAUUUGAAAGAUGAAAGACGAAUUUUAUCUGUGAUUAUCUCUAUCAUAUUAAUAAAGAUCAUUGAAUCAUCUCUGGAUAGAGAAUUGUUUAAGAUGGGACAAAGUAGCCCAAGAUAACCAGAAGAUAAAACGAGAUAUAGGGGAGGCGGGAAAAUACGAUUGACACUUCAUAAAAGUGAUAAGACGUAGAGUGAUGAUAACGUUUUGCAAUUUUUUUUUCCUUUUUAUAAAAUCGUUACGAACUUUUAAGUAAAUUUAAAAUUUAUUCGUAAUUUUUCGAAAGAAUUGAAACUUUGUAUCCUUCUUUUUCGGAUUCUUUCCAACGUUUAAAUUAUAUUUUCAACAUUGUUGAUCGAGCUUUUUGUACGGAAAAAAAUUUUUUUCUUCAACGUUACGCACUUCUUAUAUCUUGAUAUUAGAUAAUUUUUCGAAAAUGUUUCGAUUAGAUCGAAUAAAACAAAUUCGUUCGCUGAAAAUUAUCGUGUAAAUUUUUCUGAGUGUUGCUCGACACAGCACGAUAUAUUUGGCACGAGGAUUGCAUAAAAAUAUUAUAGUCGUUAAUUGACUCAAACGCGGUUAUCGGCGGGACAGCUGUCAUUCGAAGCCAAAUUGCGCGUGUAUGUGUACCAACUAUAAAAGCACGAUGAACUUGUCGAAGAUAGAUAACGAAAUUGCGUAAUUGAUAACGGCCACAAUGCAUCCAUCGUGAGUUUUGAUAUUUUUUUUUUUAAACCUACUAUAUCCAACGAAUAGUAAAUACGUGCAAGCCUGAAACGUUUAGCAACGUUAUCCGAAAUUUCUCAAAUUUUUUGAUUUUCUUCGGAAAUCAGGAAGGAAAGAUUAUUUUCGAGAAAAGGAAAAGACGAUUUUUUUUUUAAUUGUCGAAUUGAAAAAUUGUUUAGAAAUUCAAACGAAGAUUCGAUGGUUCUUUCGAUGAGAUUCGUCGUUUCGUUGUUUGUCAUUUGUGUUAAAUAUUUGAGGAUUGAAAAAUUAGCUCGUUAUCAUAUUUUCUUUGCUGCUGCUCGUGCUAAAAAUAAAUAACGUAUUUAAAAAGUAUAACGCAUGAAAGAAGAAAAUAAAAAAAGAAAAAAAUAAAAUUACCUGCCAAUUAAAUUUUCGAACGUUUUCGUGUUAAUCGUCGUGUUGCGAUCCGCAAAUGUAAAUCCGCGCUAAAAAUAUGGUGCACAUGGCUUAUUCGACGAAAGAUAGUAGCGAGAGUGUUUUGCACUCUUUCUGCGAGUGCACUCGCAUCGAUUCGUUCCACUUUCUCGUCUUAUCACUUAAACUACACCUCGUAACUGGACUCGGGUAUACGCAAAAUCACAUUUCAUGCAUACAGUUUACAUACAGUUUCGUUACUCCAAUCCAAAUAUAUAGGAAUUUACAUUUGACUUUCAAGUAUCAUUCUCCAUCUGUUUCGAUAAAGAGAAGAAAAAAGAAAAUAAUUAAAAUUUUACACCCGACCACGAUGAUGACCAAUAAUAAAUUAAUUUUAUUUACAAAGGAAAUAGCAAUAUAAAGAUCUCGAAUGUUAAUAAUAUUAUAUUUUAAUAAAUAAUAUCGUUUCUCGAAAAAUUAAA